This 253-nucleotide ribosomal RNA is filed under the name uncultured bacterium. RNAcentral's name for it is "partial 16S ribosomal RNA". It matches the Rfam family "Bacterial small subunit ribosomal RNA", at positions 524 to 776 of the family's 1533-position model. The record is from RNAcentral.
UACAGGGGGGGCAAGCGUUGUUCGGAAUUACUGGGCGUAAAGGGUCUGUAGGUGGCCAACUAAGUCAGACGUGAAAUCCCUCAGCUUAACUGGGGAACUGCGUCUGAUACUGGAUGGCUUGAGUGCAGGAGAGGAACGCGGAAUUCCAGGUGUAGCGGUGAAAUGCGUAGAUAUCUGGAGGAACACCGGUGGCGAAGGCGGCGUUCUGGACUGCAACUGACACUGAGAGACGAAAGCCAGGGGAGCAAACGGG